AUUGAACGCUGGCGGCAUGCUUUACACAUGCAAGUCGAACGGUAACAGGCCUUCGGGUGCUGACGAGUGGCGAACGGGUGAGUAAUGCAUCGGAACGUACCCAGAGGUGGGGGAUAACGCAGCGAAAGCUGUGCUAAUACCGCAUGUGAUCUGAGGAUGAAAGCGGGGGACCGAGCAGCAAUGUUUGGCCUCGCGCCUUUGGAGCGGCCGAUGUCGGAUUAGCUAGUUGGUGGGGUAAAGGCCUACCAAGGCGACGAUCCGUAGCUGGUCUGAGAGGACGACCAGCCACACUGGGGCUGAGACACGGCCCAGACUCCUACGGGAGGCAGCAGUGGGGAAUUUUGGACAAUGGGCGCAAGCCUGAUCCAGCAAUGCCGCGUGCGGGAAGAAGGCCUUCGGGUUGUAAACCGCUUUUGGCAGGAACGAAACGGUGUCCGCUAAUACCGGGCGCUAAUGACGGUACCUGCAGAAUAAGCACCGGCUAACUACGUG
This 492-nucleotide ribosomal RNA is filed under the name uncultured bacterium. Its description in RNAcentral is "partial 16S ribosomal RNA". It matches the Rfam family "Bacterial small subunit ribosomal RNA", at positions 29 to 507 of the family's 1533-position model. The record is from RNAcentral.